Molecule: ribosomal RNA, 253 nt
Filed under: uncultured bacterium
Lineage: Bacteria
Description: partial 16S ribosomal RNA
Rfam family: Bacterial small subunit ribosomal RNA
Source: RNAcentral
UACGAAGGGGGCUAGCGUUGCUCGGAAUCACUGGGCGUAAAGCGCACGUAGGCGGCUUUCUAAGUCAGGGGUGAAAUCCUGGAGCUCAACUCCAGAACUGCCUUUGAUACUGGAGAGCUUGAGUCCGGAAGAGGUGAGUGGAACUCCGAGUGUAGAGGUGAAAUUCGUAGAUAUUCGCAAGAACACCAGUGGCGAAGGCGGGUCUCUGGGCCGAUACUGACGCUGAGGAGCGAAAGCGUGGGGAGCGAACAGG